GCUUGGAUAAUUCAGCUGGUAGAACAUAAGACUCUUAAUUUCGGGAUUGGGGGUUCAAGCCCCACAUUAGGUG
Non-coding RNA from Podarcis lilfordi (Lilford's wall lizard), 73 nucleotides. NCBI's taxonomy places the organism in Eukaryota, Metazoa, Chordata, Lepidosauria, Squamata, Lacertidae. The record is from the annotation of a GenBank genome assembly.